GCAGCAUAUUUUCAUUUAUGAUAGAAGUCGACUGAAUUCUACGAAUUGUAAACUGAAAGAUGGCUCAUCCUAACGGGAUAUUUACAUACACGUCGUCCGUUCCUAUUGAGGCUGAUGAUGAGCGCAGAAAUUACUUUCGCAUGAAGAAGGAAGAAUUAGAAUGUAAAGAGCAAGAGCUGGCCACAGAGGCCAAGAGGCUUGAGGUUUCGAAGGCAAGUCUAGCUAUCGAAAAUAUGCGUGAGAAGCAUAGACUCAAAGUCGAGGAGCUACAAAUAAAGAUAAGGAUACUACAGGAGCAGGAGGAGGAUUUGUGAGGAUUUGUGAGGAUAACACAUAACAUAAAAUUAUUUUCAACGACAAUUCGAGCUAAAUACCGACACUGAAUGCUAAAUGCACAGAUUAAAAUACCAAACCAAAAGUUUAAAUGUAUGUUACUUUAGAUAUUCACUACCUCAAUAAAGAUAAAGCCAAAGUCUA
Molecule: long non-coding RNA, 477 nt
Organism: Drosophila albomicans
Lineage: Eukaryota; Metazoa; Arthropoda; Insecta; Diptera; Drosophilidae
Exons: 3
Source: RefSeq, a predicted model, not a curated record